GAGGACUGCAGAGUGCGGGCUAAACUGAAAUGCUGAGGGCUAAACUGAUUACAGAUCGGGUGGCAUUUCGGAGAAGCCCCGGAGGAUAUAGAAGAUGAUACAAUCUGCUGUUGCUUCCCAAGGCCAAGGGAUACCGAAGUUCCUGAAAAGGCAUUCAGUUCCUACAGUGAGUGUCAGUGAACCAGUCUCUGGUGGGCCAGAUGGAGACCAGGACAACAACACAAGGUGGUUUCUUCUUUUCAGUAGUGGACGAUCCAGCCUACCUACAGAGGAGGAAUUGUGAACAUCGAAGACGACGAGGUGCCCAAUGAAGAGCUCCGUGGCCUGUCUGUCAGAUGUGUCUACCUUCCUGCCUGGCUGUACCAUCAAUGCUCCCUCUGCUCAAGAUACUACCUUUCCAAACUGCUUAUCAUCUAAAGCUGUGGAAGACCAUCGCCCAAGAACUGCCAGAUCUUCCUACAUUUGUUUUGUUAAAUUGUUUUCUGUUUGUUUAGUUUUUAAAGCGACUUUGAGAUUCAACAUGUAAU
Molecule: long non-coding RNA, 527 nt
Organism: Coregonus clupeaformis (lake whitefish)
Lineage: Eukaryota; Metazoa; Chordata; Actinopteri; Salmoniformes; Salmonidae
Exons: 4
Source: RefSeq, a predicted model, not a curated record